This is an RNA transcript of Vitis vinifera (wine grape), 1689 nucleotides long. It is a transcript of the gene named GDSL esterase/lipase At1g54790, with no coding region annotated. The record is from RefSeq and is a predicted model, not a curated record. NCBI's taxonomy places the organism in Eukaryota, Viridiplantae, Streptophyta, Magnoliopsida, Vitales, Vitaceae. The transcript has 7 exons.
AUUUAUUUUUGUGUCAUUUUAAUUUAUAAAAGGCUUGUGGGUGGUUUGUUUGGUAGUUAAAAUUACAAGUGAAAGCUGCAAGCUCCUCUGCUACUACAGCCAUGGCCUCCAAAUCCUUCAUCCUGCAAAUUCUCGCUUUUAUCUUCAUCUUUUCACCUCUUGCACAUUCCAUACAGUUCAAUUUUCCUGCUGUUUUCAACUUCGGUGACUCGAAUUCGGACACCGGGGGCCUUGUUGCCGGAAUUGGUGAUCGCCUUGAUCCGCCUAAUGGGCAGAUUUUCUUCAAAAGACCAGCUGGGCGGUUCUGUGAUGGCCGCCUCAUCAUAGAUUUCCUCAUGGAUGCAAUGGACCUUCCAUUUCUUAAUCCAUACCUGGAUUCAAUUGGGGCGCCAACUUUCCGAAAAGGGUGCAAUUUUGCAGCUGCAGGGUCCACUGUACUUCCAGCAUCCGCCAAUGCUGUAAGCCCAUUUUCAUUUGGGAUUCAGGUGGCUCAGUUUAUGAGAUUCAAAAUUCGGGUUCUCCAAUUGCUGGAGAAAGGCAGAAAGUUUCAAAAGUACAUUCCUCAGGAGGAUUCCUUUCAGAAAGGACUUUACAUGUUUGAUAUAGGCCAGAAUGAUCUUGCUGGUGCCUUCUACUCCAAAUCAUUGGAUCAAAUUCUUGCUUCAAUUCCAACAAUUCUGGUAGAAUUCGAAACCGGGAUUCAGGAAUUAUAUGACCAAGGAGCAAGAAAUUUUUGGAUACACAACACGGGUCCUCUUGGAUGCUUGACUCAGAAUAUUGCCAAGUUUGGAACUGACCCCUCAAAGCUCGAUGAAUUAGGUUGUGUAAGUGGGCACAACCAAGCUGCUAGACUCUUCAAUCUGCAGCUUCAAGCUCUCUGCAAGAAGUUCCAGGGCCAGCACCCGGAUGCAAAAGUCAUACAUGUUGACAUCUAUACAAUAAAAUACAACCUCAUUGCAAAUUAUUCUCGAUAUGGCUUUGAGCACCCCCUGAUGGCUUGCUGUGGAUAUGGAGGUCUACCAUUGAACUAUGACAGUCGGGUCCCCUGUGGGAAGACAAAAGUUGUGAAUGGGACUGAAAUCACAGCCAAAGGGUGCAGUGAUAGUACUGAGUAUGUGAACUGGGAUGGAAUUCAUUACUCAGAGGCUGCAAACCAAUUAGGUAUCAGACAACUCCAUCUGUUCAAAUCAUGAAAAGGGUGUUGCAGAAUGAGUUCAAAUUACAGGAUACUAAAAUGGUAUAGGAAUGGGUGACCGUCUUGAUCCACCUAAUGGGCAGACUUACUUUCAAAAACUAUCUGGGCGGUUCUGUGAUGGCCGUUUGAUCAUAGACUUUCUCAGUAAACUACACAUCAUUUUGGAAGACUUUUAAAUUACUGAUAGUUUUUUUGGUUUGAAACAGCUAUGUUCUGCUAUAUCCAUCUCAUCCACGUUCUCUCACUGUAUAUCUCCCUGUUUCUCUGUUUUUCCACAACAUUGAAGUUGGUCCUCAAUCCUUUAUGUACCAUUUGGUCACCUAGACAGAACUUCACAGGGUUUUUUGAAUCUUAAGUGUGUCUUCUUCCAUUGUGUGACAGUGGAUGCAAUGGGCCUUCCAUUUCUAUCUCCAUAUUUGGAUUCAGUUGGCAUGCCGAAUUUCCCCGAAGGAUGCAAUUUUGCUGCUGCAGGGUCCACCAUACUUCCACAUGCA